UGCAUAUCCAAAAGCGGAGGAAAAGAAACCAACAGGGAUUGCCCUAGUAACGGCGAGUGAAGCGGCAACAGCUCAAAUUUGAAAGCUAGCCUUCGGGUUCGCAUUGUAAUUUGUAGAGGAUGAUUUGGGGAAGCCGCCUGUCUAAGUUCCUUGGAACAGGACGUCAUAGAGGGUGAGAAUCCCGUAUGUGACAGGAAAUGGCACCCUAUGUAAAUCUCCUUCGACGAGUCGAGUUGUUUGGGAAUGCAGCUCUAAAUGGGAGGUAAAUUUCUUCUAAAGCUAAAUAUUGGCGAGAGACCGAUAGCGCACAAGUAGAGUGAUCGAAAGAUGAAAAGCACUUUGGAAAGAGAGUUAAAAAGCACGUGAAAUUGUUGAAAGGGAAGCGCUUGCAAUCAGACUUGUUUAAACUGUUCGGCCGGUCUUCUGACCGGUUUACUCAGUUUGGACAGGCCAGCAUCAGUUUCGGCGGCCGGAUAAAGGCUCUGGGAAUGUGGCCUCCACUUCGGUGGAGGUGUUAUAGCCCAGGGUGUAAUACGGCCAGCCGGGACUGAGGUCCGCGCUUCGGCUAGGAUGCUGGCGUAAUGGUUGUAAGCGACCCGUCUUGA
RNAcentral lists this ribosomal RNA (605 nucleotides) under Aureobasidium pullulans. RNAcentral describes it as "eukaryotic LSU rRNA". It matches the Rfam family "Eukaryotic large subunit ribosomal RNA", at positions 37 to 657 of the family's 3401-position model. The record is from RNAcentral. Lineage: Eukaryota; Fungi; Ascomycota; Dothideomycetes; Dothideales; Saccotheciaceae.